This 736-nucleotide ribosomal RNA is filed under the name uncultured bacterium. RNAcentral's name for it is "bacterial SSU rRNA". It matches the Rfam family "Bacterial small subunit ribosomal RNA", at positions 64 to 779 of the family's 1533-position model. The record is from RNAcentral.
ACGCGAAAGCUCCCUUUCGGGGAAGCAAGUAGAGUGGCGCACGGGUGAGUAACACGUAGGUAAUCUACCUCUGGGUGGGGAAUAACAGCCGGAAACGGCUGCUAAUACCGCAUAACGCAGCGGCACCACAUGGUGACAGUUGUUAAAGCGGGGGAACUUCGGUCCUCGCGCCUGGAGAGGAGCCUGCGGCGGAUUAGCUAGUUGGUGGGGUAACGGCCUACCAAGGCUUCGAUCCGUAGCCGGCCUGAGAGGGCGGUCGGCCACACUGGCACUGACAUACGGGCCAGACUCCUACGGGAGGCAGCAGUCGGGAAUUUUGGGCAAUGGGCGCAAGCCUGACCCAGCAACGCCGCGUGAAGGAUGAAGUUUUUCGGAAUGUAAACUUCAUAAGAAUGGGACGAAUAAGUGGGGGAUAAUACCCCCCAUGAUGACGGUACCAUUUGUAAGCUCCGGCUAACUCCGUGCCAGCAGCCGCGGUAAUACGGGGGGAGCAAGCGUUGUUCGGAUUUACUGGGCGUAAAGGGCGCGUAGGCGGCGUGACAAGUCACUUGUGAAAUCUCCGGGCUUAACUCGGAGCGGCCAAGUGAUACUGUCGUGCUAGAGUGCGGAAGGGGCUACUGGAAUUCUCGGUGUAGCGGUGAAAUGCGUAGAUAUCGAGAGGAACACCUGCGGCGAAGGCGGGUAGCUGGGCCGACACUGACGCUGAAGCGCGAAAGCUAGGGGAGCGAACGGGAUU